This is a non-coding RNA of Lonchura striata (white-rumped munia), 178 nucleotides long. Lineage: Eukaryota; Metazoa; Chordata; Aves; Passeriformes; Estrildidae. The record is from RefSeq and is a predicted model, not a curated record.
GAUAUUUGCCUUCUCUAGUAACCACUACACAGCUGACGUCCUGCUUCCCAGGAUCUGGCUGGGCAUUGCCUGCUGAUGAGAGCUGCAUUACAGAUGCUUUUGCCAUAAAAGAAGAACAACAAGAAAGGGACUGAAAACCCAUCAGUGAAGUUUACACUGUGAAAUAAGUAGUCCCCAG